This 264-nucleotide ribosomal RNA is filed under the name uncultured bacterium. RNAcentral describes it as "partial 16S ribosomal RNA". It matches the Rfam family "Bacterial small subunit ribosomal RNA", at positions 524 to 777 of the family's 1533-position model. The record is from RNAcentral.
UACGAGGGGGGCAAGCGUUUGUCCGGGAAUUAUUGGGCGUAAAGAGCUCGUAGGUGGCCUGUCGCCGGUCGGCCUGUGAAAACUCGGGGCUCAACUCCGAGCUUGCAGUCGAGUACGGGCAGGCUAGAGUUCGGCAGGGGAGACUGGAAUUCCUGGUGUAGCGGUGAAAUGCGCAGAUAUCAGGAGGAACACCGGUGGCGAAGGCGGGUCUCGUGGGCCGAUGACUGACACUGGAUGCGCGACAGCAGUGGGGAGCAAACGAGG